GGAGGGGUGGCCGAGUGGCCGAAGGCGGCGGUUUGCUAAACCGUUAUACCCCUUAAAAGGUAUCGAGGGUUCGAAUCCCUUCCCCUCCUCCA
RNAcentral lists this transfer RNA (92 nucleotides) under Rubritepida sp. Its description in RNAcentral is "tRNA-Ser". It matches the Rfam family "tRNA". Rfam says of the family: Transfer RNA (tRNA) molecules are approximately 80 nucleotides in length. The record is from RNAcentral. Lineage: Bacteria; Pseudomonadati; Pseudomonadota; Alphaproteobacteria; Acetobacterales; Roseomonadaceae.